UGGGGGAUAUUGCACAAUGGGCGAAAGCCUGAUGCAGCGACGCCGCGUGGGGGAUGAAGGCCUUCGGGUUGUAAACUUCUUUUGCUCUGAACAAGGCAUGCCUUUGGGGUGUGUUGAGUGUAGGGGUUGAUUAGCGCCGGCUAACUACGUGCCAGCAGCCGCGGUAAUACGUAGGGCGCGAGCGUUGUCCGGAAUUAUUGGGCGUAAAGGGCUUGUAGGUGGCUGGUUGCGUCUGUCGUGAAAGCUCAUGGCUUAACUGUGGGUUUGCGGUGGGUACGGGCUGGCUUGAGUGCAGUAGCGGAGGCUGGAAUUCCUGGUGUAGCGGUGGAAUGCGCAGAUAUCAGGAGGAAUACCGGUGGCGAAGGCGGGUCUCUGGGCUGUUACUGACGCUGAGGAGCGAAAGCGUGGGGAGCGAACAGG
RNAcentral lists this ribosomal RNA (420 nucleotides) under Fusobacteriota bacterium. RNAcentral describes it as "Fusobacteria bacterium partial 16S ribosomal RNA". It matches the Rfam family "Bacterial small subunit ribosomal RNA", at positions 355 to 776 of the family's 1533-position model. Lineage: Bacteria; Fusobacteriati; Fusobacteriota. The record is from RNAcentral.